RNAcentral lists this ribosomal RNA (256 nucleotides) under uncultured bacterium. RNAcentral describes it as "partial 16S ribosomal RNA". It matches the Rfam family "Bacterial small subunit ribosomal RNA", at positions 524 to 776 of the family's 1533-position model. The record is from RNAcentral.
GACGUAGGUGGCGAACGUUAUCCGGAAUUAUUGGGCGUAAAGGGUGCGUAGGUGGCCUGACAAGUUAACAGUGGUAAAUCGAGGCUCAACCUCGUGGAAGCUGAUAAUACUGUUUGGCUCGAGUACAGAAGAGGUUAACGGAACUCCAUGUGGAGCGGUAAAAUGUGUAGAUAUAUGGAAGAACACCAAUAACGGCGAAGGCAGUUAACUACUCUGUUACUGACAUUGAGGCACGAAAGCGUGGGGAGCAAAACGG